UACAGAGGGUGCAACCGUUGCUCGGAAUCAUUGGGCGUAAAGCGCACGUAGGCGGUCCGUCAAGUGGGGUGUGAAAGCCCUCGGCUCAACCGAGGAAUUGCGCUCCAAACUGUCGGGCUCGAGGGAGAUAGAGGUGAGCGGAACUGAUGGUGGAGCGGUGAAAUGCGUUGAUAUCAUCAGGAACACCAGAGGCGAAGGCGGCUCACUGGGUCUCUUCUGACGCUGAGGAACGAAAGCUAGGGGAGCAAACGGG
Molecule: ribosomal RNA, 253 nt
Filed under: uncultured bacterium
Lineage: Bacteria
Description: partial 16S ribosomal RNA
Rfam family: Bacterial small subunit ribosomal RNA
Source: RNAcentral